This 71-nucleotide transfer RNA is filed under the name Marmota monax (woodchuck). RNAcentral's name for it is "tRNA.Ala". It matches the Rfam family "tRNA". Rfam says of the family: Transfer RNA (tRNA) molecules are approximately 80 nucleotides in length. Lineage: Eukaryota; Metazoa; Chordata; Mammalia; Rodentia; Sciuridae. The record is from RNAcentral.
GGGGUUGUGGCUCAGUGGUAGAGCACUUGCCUGGCAUGUGUGAAGCACUGAGUUCAACCCUCAGUACCACA